Molecule: ribosomal RNA, 402 nt
Filed under: bacterium
Lineage: Bacteria
Description: partial 16S ribosomal RNA
Rfam family: Bacterial small subunit ribosomal RNA
Source: RNAcentral
UGGGGAAUUUUGCACAAUGGGGGAAACCCUGAUGCAGCAACGCCGCGUGAUUUAGAAUGCCUUCGGGUUGUAAAAAUCUUUUCUAUGGGAAGAAAAUGACAGUACCAUAGGAAUAAGGACCGGCUAAUUACGUGCCAGCAGCCGCGGUAAUACGUAAGGUCCGAGCGUUGUCCGGAAUCAUUGGGCGUUAAGGGUACGUAGGCGGGUAAGCAAGUUAGAAGUGAAAUCCUAUAGCUCAACUAUAGUAAGCUUUUAAAACUGCUCAUCUUGGGGUAUGGACGGGAAAGUGCAGUUCCUAGUGUAGCUGUGAAAUUCGCAGAUAUUAGGCGGAAGACCGGUGGCGAAGGCGACUUUCUGGCCAUAACCUGACGCUGUGCUACGAAAGCGUGAGUAGCAAACUGG